RNAcentral lists this transfer RNA (72 nucleotides) under Metarhizium anisopliae BRIP 53293. Its description in RNAcentral is "tRNA-Arg (ACG) (tRNA-Arg-ACG-2-1)". It matches the Rfam family "tRNA". Rfam says of the family: Transfer RNA (tRNA) molecules are approximately 80 nucleotides in length. Their secondary structure includes four short double-helical elements and three loops (D, anti-codon, and T loops). RNAcentral also lists the same sequence under 1 other name. The record is from RNAcentral. Lineage: Eukaryota; Fungi; Ascomycota; Sordariomycetes; Hypocreales; Clavicipitaceae.
GGCCGGGUAGCUCAAUGGCAGAGCGUCUGACUACGCGUCAGAAGGUUGUAGGUUCGAAUCCUGCCCUGGCUG